Molecule: ribosomal RNA, 253 nt
Filed under: uncultured bacterium
Lineage: Bacteria
Description: partial 16S ribosomal RNA
Rfam family: Bacterial small subunit ribosomal RNA
Source: RNAcentral
UACGUAGGGAGCAAGCGUUAUCCGGAUUUAUUGGGUGUAAAGGGUGCGUAGAUGGAGAAGCAAGUUAGUUGUGAAAUCCCUCGGCUUAACUGAGGAACUGCAACUAAAACUACUUCCCUUGAGUACUGGAGAGGAAAGUGGAAUUCCUAGUGUAGCGGUGAAAUGCGUAGAUAUUAGGAGGAACACCAGUGGCGAAGGCGACUUUCUGGACAGUAACUGACGUUGAGGCACGAAAGUGUGGGGAGCAAACAGG